Molecule: ribosomal RNA, 650 nt
Filed under: Bacillus sp. 110(2013)
Lineage: Bacteria; Bacillati; Bacillota; Bacilli; Caryophanales; Bacillaceae
Description: bacterial SSU rRNA
Rfam family: Bacterial small subunit ribosomal RNA
Source: RNAcentral
CAGAUGGGAGCUUGCUCCCUGAUGUUAGCGGCGGACGGGUGAGUAACACGUGGGUAACCUGCCUGUAAGACUGGGAUAACUCCGGGAAACCGGGGCUAAUACCGGAUGCUUGUUUGAACCGCAUGGUUCAAACAUAAAAGGUGGCUUCGGCUACCACUUACAGAUGGACCCGCGGCGCAUUAGCUAGUUGGUGAGGUAACGGCUCACCAAGGCAACGAUGCGUAGCCGACCUGAGAGGGUGAUCGGCCACACUGGGACUGAGACACGGCCCAGACUCCUACGGGAGGCAGCAGUAGGGAAUCUUCCGCAAUGGACGAAAGUCUGACGGAGCAACGCCGCGUGAGUGAUGAAGGUUUUCGGAUCGUAAAGCUCUGUUGUUAGGGAAGAACAAGUACCGUUCGAAUAGGGCGGUACCUUGACGGUACCUAACCAGAAAGCCACGGCUAACUACGUGCCAGCAGCCGCGGUAAUACGUAGGUGGCAAGCGUUGUCCGGAAUUAUUGGGCGUAAAGGGCUCGCAGGCGGUUUCUUAAGUCUGAUGUGAAAGCCCCCGGCUCAACCGGGGAGGGUCAUUGGAAACUGGGGAACUUGAGUGCAGAAGAGGAGAGUGGAAUUCCACGUGUAGCGGUGAAAUGCGUAGAGAUGUGGAG